GGUGUAGGUGGCUUGGUAAGUUAGAUGUGAAAGCCCCGGGCUCAACCCGGGAAGUGCAUCUAAAACUGCUUAGCUUGAGUACGGGAGAGGGAAGCAGAAUUCCUGGUGUAGUGGUGAAAUACGUAGAUAUCAGGAGGAACACCGGUGGCGAAGGCGGUUUCCUGGCCCAGUACUGACACUCAGACCCGAAAGCGUGGGUAGCAAACA
This 207-nucleotide ribosomal RNA is filed under the name uncultured bacterium. RNAcentral describes it as "partial 16S ribosomal RNA". It matches the Rfam family "Bacterial small subunit ribosomal RNA", at positions 568 to 774 of the family's 1533-position model. The record is from RNAcentral.